This 478-nucleotide ribosomal RNA is filed under the name uncultured Bifidobacterium sp. 3-3A. Its description in RNAcentral is "bacterial SSU rRNA". It matches the Rfam family "Bacterial small subunit ribosomal RNA", at positions 173 to 666 of the family's 1533-position model. The record is from RNAcentral. Lineage: Bacteria; Bacillati; Actinomycetota; Actinomycetes; Bifidobacteriales; Bifidobacteriaceae.
CUCCAGUCCAUCGCAUGGUGGUCUGGGAAAGAUUUUAUCGGUAUGGGAUGGGGUCGCGUCCUAUCAGGUAGUCGGCGGGGUAACGGCCCACCGAGCCUACGACGGGUAGCCGGCCUGAGAGGGCGACCGGCCACAUUGGGACUGAGAUACGGCCCAGACUCCUACGGGAGGCAGCAGUGGGGAAUAUUGCAUAAUGGGCGCAAGCCUGAUGCAGCGACGCCGCGUGCGGGAUGACGGCCUUCGGGUUGUAAACCGCUUUUGUUGGGGAGCAAGCCUUCGGGUGAGUGUACCCUUCGAAUAAGCACCGGCUAACUACGUGCCAGCAGCCGCGGUAAUACGUAGGGUGCAAGCGUUAUCCGGAAUUAUUGGGCGUAAAGGGCUCGUAGGCGGUUCGUCGCGUCCGGUGUGAAAGUCCAUCGCUUAACGGUGGAUCUGCGCCGGGUACGGGCGGGCUGGAGUGCGGUAGGGGAGACUGGAA